GAUGAACGCUGGCGGCGUGCCUAAUACAUGCAAGUCGAGCGAACGGACGAGAAGCUUGCUUCUCUGAUGUUAGCGGCGGACGGGUGAGUAACACGUGGAUAACCUACCUAUAAGACUGGGAUAACUUCGGGAAACCGGAGCUAAUACCGGAUAAUAUUUUGAACCGCAUGGUUCAAAAGUGAAAGACGGUCUUGCUGUCACUUAUAGAUGGAUCCGCGCUGCAUUAGCUAGUUGGUAAGGUAACGGCUUACCAAGGCAACGAUGCAUAGCCGACCUGAGAGGGUGAUCGGCCACACUUGAACUGAGACACGGUCCAGACUCCUACGGGAGGCAGCAGUAGGGAAUCUUCCGCAAAGGGCGAAAGCCUGACGGAGCAACGCCGCGUGAGUGAUGAAGGUCUUCGGAUCGUAAAACUCUGUUAUUAGGGAAGAACAUAUGUGCAAGUAACUGUGCACAUCUUGACGGUACCUAAUCAGAAAGCCACGGCUAACUACGUG
RNAcentral lists this ribosomal RNA (497 nucleotides) under uncultured bacterium. RNAcentral describes it as "partial 16S ribosomal RNA". It matches the Rfam family "Bacterial small subunit ribosomal RNA", at positions 28 to 507 of the family's 1533-position model. The record is from RNAcentral.